Molecule: long non-coding RNA, 294 nt
Organism: Oncorhynchus keta (chum salmon)
Lineage: Eukaryota; Metazoa; Chordata; Actinopteri; Salmoniformes; Salmonidae
Exons: 3
Source: RefSeq, a predicted model, not a curated record
UCAGUCGUUAUGCCAGUCUGUUUUUACUUGGUAGGUCAGUCGUUAUGCCAGUCUGUUUUUACUUGGUAGGUCAGUCGUUAUGCCAGUCUGUUUUUACUUGGUAGGUCAGUCGUUAUGCCAGUCUGUUUUUACUUGGUAGGUCAGUCGUUAUGCCAGUCUGUUUUUACUUGGUAGGUCAGUCGUUAUGCCAGUCUGUUUUUACUUGGUAGGUCAGUCGUUAUGCCAGUCUGUUUUUACUUGGUAGGUCAGUCGUUAUGCCAGUCUGUUUUUACUUGGUAGGUCAGUCGUUAUGCC